RNAcentral lists this transfer RNA (76 nucleotides) under Lentisphaerota bacterium. RNAcentral's name for it is "Lentisphaerae bacterium (feces metagenome) tRNA-Arg". It matches the Rfam family "tRNA". From Rfam's summary of the family: Transfer RNA (tRNA) molecules are approximately 80 nucleotides in length. Their secondary structure includes four short double-helical elements and three loops (D, anti-codon, and T loops). RNAcentral also lists the same sequence under 1 other name. The record is from RNAcentral. Lineage: Bacteria; Pseudomonadati; Lentisphaerota.
GCCCGGGUAGCUCAGUGGAUAGAGCAGAAGUUUCCUAAACUUUUGGUCGGAGGUUCGAUUCCUCUCCCGGGUACCA